CAACUGUAACAGAAAGAAAAAGCAAACACAUAAAACAUAUUUGUUAUCUUAAGUAGUGGAAUUUUCUAAUUUAGGCAGUUCAAAGUAAUUUAAAAAUCAUAUAUAAGAUUUAGUUGCAAUGAUGAUUUAAAACAUUCUUCAAACCACAGUCCACCAAUCUCUCUCCCUCCCUCCCUCUCUCUCUUGCUCUCUCUCCCCCCCUCUUUCUCUCUCUCUCCCCUCCCGUGCAUGUACUGACACACUCCUCACCUAAAAAUGAGAUGUGUAAAUCUUUACUGUGGGAUUGAAUGGUACUUUGCAACUGAGCCAACACUUUGGUCUUGUAUCUGAGUAACCAUGGAGACAGAAGCUUGUGUUUAGUGCGAUGAAAAGAGAGUGGAUGAAGAGGGAAUGAAAGUGGCAGGGACUGAACAAUUUAAGAUGCUGUCAUGUGAAGAAGCUGAGAAAGAGGAACGAAGUGAACUUGAAGGUCAUGGAAGAGACAAAAAGUAAUGUUAACACAGGGAAUUGUUGAACAGCUUUUCAUAUCUCUCUCUCUCUCUCUCUCUCUCUCUCUCUCUCUCUCUCUCUCACACACACAGAAAACACACAGACACCCCAUGUAAAACUAAGGAACGAAUGCCAGAGGAAAAGGUUUUCACCUCCUCACCUAUCAUGAGACGUCUAAAUCUUUACUGCGGGAUUGAAUGGUACUUUGGUAUUGAGCUGACACUUUCUACUUGUAUUUGCGUAACCAUGGAGACAGAGCGUCUGUUUAGUGCAAUGAAGAAAAAGUGGGUGAAGGAUGAAUGAAAGCAGCAGGCACCGAAUAAUUUAAGAUGGGGACAUGCGAAGAAGCAGAGAAAGGAAAGAACUGAACUUGAAGGUCAAAGAAGAGAGAAAAAUUAACUUUAAACAGGGAAGUCUUGAAAAGCUUCCCACUUGGUGAACAUCUGUUCAAACUGUUCCGAAGUUGUACCUGUCAUGUCCGACAGAGUCUCCAGUUCUCGGGCAGCCGAAGGCCCCAGAGCGAUGGUGUGGAUGAUGGCACCGCUGCGAGAGACGGCCUCAAAGCAGGAACGUAUUCCAUUAUCUUCCCCAUCUGUCAGCAAUACGAUCUCAGAACCGGAAGUGCUCUGGUCACUGGAGGUAAUUGCCUGUGAAAAGCAGGGUGCUAAUUACAUGCUGUCACUGCUGAUAAACUUAAGAAUGCACAUCUUUUUAAUAUUCUCUUUCUUAGCUGACUUGAUGAUACACGGAAAUGGGCAAGCAUUAGACUUCUCAGCAUUUUUAAUCCUCCAGAGAUAGACAUGUUGGCUACUCAGUAGAGGACGAACAAAUCUCCAAUAACGAUUUCUGGCAUACAGUAGCUACCAAAUGAAUAAAAAUUAUGUAUGAAUGUAAA
Mus musculus (house mouse) is the source of this 1384-nucleotide long non-coding RNA. RefSeq annotates it as predicted gene, 34866. The transcript has 2 exons. NCBI's taxonomy places the organism in Eukaryota, Metazoa, Chordata, Mammalia, Rodentia, Muridae. The record is from RefSeq and is a predicted model, not a curated record.